Molecule: ribosomal RNA, 2084 nt
Filed under: marine metagenome
Description: bacterial LSU rRNA
Rfam family: Bacterial large subunit ribosomal RNA
Source: RNAcentral
AGGAAAAGAUAUUCCGUUAGUAGUGGCGAGCGAAAGCGGAUCAGGCCAGUGCUACUUUUUACUAAACCAGAACUGUAUGGAAAGGCAGGCCAUAGUGAGUGAUAGCCUCGUAUGGGUAGAUAGUAAAAAAUAGACAUGAGUAGGGCGGGACACGUGAAAUCCUGUCUGAAUAUAGGAAGACCACUUCCUAAGCCUAAAUACUACUUUAUGACCGAUAGUGAACCAGUACCGUGAGGGAAAGGCGAAAAGAACCCCUAGCAGGGGAGUGAAAUAGACCCUGAAACCGGAUGCUUACAAGCAGUUGGAGCCUCUUUAUGAGGUGACAGCGUACCUUUUGUAUAAUGGGUCAGCGACUUAAUCUCAUUAGCAAGCUUAAGCCACAUAGGUGUAGGCGAAGCGAAAGCGAGUCUGAAUAGGGCGAUUUAGUUAAUGGGAUUAGACUCGAAACCGAGUGAUCUAGUCAUGAGCAGGUUGAAAGUGAAGUAAAAUUCACCGGAGGACCGAACCCACUAGCGUUGAAAAGCUACGGGAUGACUUGUGAUUAGGGGUGAAAGGCCAACCAAACUCGGAAAUAGCUAGUUCUCCGCGAAAACUAUUUAGGUAGUGCGUCGUGUGAAUCUUGUCGGGGGUAGAGCACUGAAUGGGCUAGGGGGAAGCAAUUCCUACCAAACCUAAUCAAACUCCGAAUACCGAUAAGUCUGCACGGCAGACAGUCCAUGGGUGCUAAGGUCCUUGGACGAGAGGGAAACAGCCCAGAUCAACAGCUAAGGUCCCCAAAUAAUGAUUAAGUGUGAAAGGGAGUGGGAACUCCAAGACAGCCAGGAGGUUGGCUUAGAAGCAGCCAUCCUUUAAAGAAAGCGUAACAGCUCACUGGUCUAAUUAAGAGAUCCUGCACCGAAAAUGUAACGGGGCUCAAAUCAUUUACCGAAGCUUUGACAAUUACUUUGUAAUUGGGUAGCGGAGCGUUCUGUAAGCCUGUAAAGGUGAUGCGUAAGCAUUGCUGGAGGUAUCAGAAGUGCGAAUGCUGACAUGAGUAACGAUAAGAAAUGUGAAAGACAUUUCCGCCGAAAUCCUAAGGUUUCCUGCGUAAAGCUAAUCUGCGCAGGGUUAGUCGGCCCCUAAGGCGAGGGCGAAAGCCGUAGUCGAUGGGAAGCAGGUUAAUAUUCCUGCACCAGCUGGUAGUGACGGAUGAAGUAAAUUGUAAGCUCUUACUGGAUUGAGCUUGCAGUGAAUUUGUCCCUGGAAAUAGCUCCAGCAUUAGACCGUACCAAAACCGACACAGGUAGGAGGGUAGAGAAUACCAAGGCGCUUGAGAGAACUAUGUUGAAGGAACUCGGCAAAUUACACUUGUAACUUCGGGAUAAAAGUGACCUGCUAUUGGGCAACCAGUAGGAGGUGGCACAGAAGAGGGGGUAGCGACUGUUUACUAAAAACAUAGCACUAUGCAAAGUCGAAAGACGACGUAUAUGGUGUGACGCCUGCCCGGUGCCGGAAGGUUAAUAGGAGGGGUGCAAGCCCUGAAUUGAAGCCCCGGUGAACGGCGGCCGUAACUAUAACGGUCCUAAGGUAGCGAAAUUCCUUGUCGGGUAAGUUCCGACCUGCACGAAUGGCGUAACGAUUUCCCCACUGUCUCCAACAUAGACUCAGUGAAAUUGAAUUCUCGGUUAAGAUGCCGAGUAACCGUGGUUAGACGGAAAGACCCCGUGCACCUUUACUGCAGCUUUGUAUUGGUAUUAGGGAACAGAUGUGUAGCAUAGGUGGGAGACUUUGAAGGAGUGGCGCUAGCCAUUCUGGAGUCACUAGUGAAAUACCACUCUUCUGUUCCUUGAUGCCUAACCAUACACCGUUAUCCGGUGUUGGGACCAUGCAUGGUGGGCAGUUUGACUGGGGCGGUCGCCUCCCAAAGAGUAACGGAGGCGCGCGAUGGUAGGCUCAGAACGCUUGGAAACCGUUCGUCGAGUGCAAUGGCAUAAGCCUGCCUGACUGCGAGACCCACAAGUCGAGCAGAGACGAAAGUCGGUCAUAGUGAUCCGGUGGCACUUCGUGGAAGGGCCAUCGCUCAACGGAUAAAAGGUACGCCGGGG